AUUUUUUGCAUCCAUCUCUUUUUCUAGAUUGGAUAAAUUUAAUGCUUAUCUUGUUUCCCAACUCUGAAGUUUCAAUCAAAUAUAGUUGGUAGUUGAUACAGAUACGACAUUGUUAUGUGUUAGUUCAUACUUAAUCGAAUGUUAUACUCCACCUUUUUAAUCAGUAAACGUUGAAGUGAGUCUGCUUUAGCACUUCAUUGAAUAAUACACUCCAUAUUUUUGAUUUAACACCCUGUCUUGGUUUCCAAAAGAGGAGCAGGAGGGCAAGGCCAGAGAAAUUGAUUGGUUUACUUCCUUCGGAUGAAGUACUGAUGAUGAACUUCCACUUGUUUGGGAAGUAAAAGUGACGUACUUCCUCUUUUCACUGUAGUUUUGAAGGGAUACUGCUUUAGCUUUUGCUUCCUACCUGGAGAAAUGACCCUUAUAAGUCAUCAUCUAAAUGAUUGGUUACGUCAGGAGGCAAAAGUGCUUAGAUAUAACUAAUUGUAGAAAGGUCAGUGUUAUUAAAGGCGAAAAGCGCAAAAAAGCUCUAAGGUUUAUUGGGGCUUUAAGCGCAAAGCGCAAAUAAAGCGUGGGUUUCAAUGAAGAAAGGCGCAAAUGGAGAAAAACGACAAAUAUAAUUAUGCUCAUUGGCAAGGAAAAGUAUGCCUUAAAGCUUGAUGACAACACUGAAGCGCCUUCUAAGCGAGGCGAAGCGCUCAACAUGUUUUGAGCCUCGCUUCAAGGCUUAAACGCGCAUUUGAAAACACUGUGAAAGGUAACUACACUUCUGGGCAUCCUAUGUUGGAAAUAGACAUAGAGCACUCGGCUGAGGAAAUAACUUGUAAAGGCAUUCACAAGCUUCUGGGCUUAUGCAUGCUAAAUCUUGAGUUAAAGGCUUAAUUUUCCAGCCUCCAAGGUUCUCGUUUCCUUUUUUGAUCAUAUUAUGGUGAACCUUCAAAUGCACACGGAGCGUACAGGAAAGAUAGGGCCUUGCCCUAUGUGCUUCUUUCUCUUCCCAGGAAUGAAGAACUUGAUUUAAAAUG
Molecule: non-coding RNA, 1025 nt
Organism: Nicotiana tabacum (common tobacco)
Lineage: Eukaryota; Viridiplantae; Streptophyta; Magnoliopsida; Solanales; Solanaceae
Source: RefSeq, a predicted model, not a curated record